GACGAACGCUGGCGGCGUGCUUAACACAUGCAAGUCGAACGGUAAGGCCCUUCGGGGUACACGAGUGGCGAACGGGUGAGUAACACGUGGGUGAUCUGCCCUGCACUUCGGGAUAAGCCUGGGAAACUGGGUCUAAUACCGGAUAGGACCACUGCCUGCAUGGGUGGUGGUGGAAAGCUUUUGCGGUGUGGGAUGGGCCCGCGGCCUAUCAGCUUGUUGGUGGGGUGAUGGCCUACCAAGGCGACGACGGUUAGCCGGCCUGAGAGGGUGACCGGCCACACUGGGACUGAGAUACGGCCCGGACUCCUACGGGAGGCAGCAGUGGGGAAUAUUGCACAAUGGGCGCAAGCCUGAUGCAGCGACGCCGCGUGAGGGAUGACGGCCUUCGGGUUGUAAACCUCUUUCAGCACCGACGAAGCGCAAGUGGCGGUAGGUGCAGAAGAAGGACCGGCCAACUACGUGCCAGCAGCCGCCGUAA
This 478-nucleotide ribosomal RNA is filed under the name uncultured bacterium. RNAcentral's name for it is "partial 16S ribosomal RNA". It matches the Rfam family "Bacterial small subunit ribosomal RNA", at positions 28 to 523 of the family's 1533-position model. The record is from RNAcentral.